This 1369-nucleotide ribosomal RNA is filed under the name uncultured bacterium. RNAcentral's name for it is "bacterial SSU rRNA". It matches the Rfam family "Bacterial small subunit ribosomal RNA", at positions 28 to 1381 of the family's 1533-position model. The record is from RNAcentral.
GACGAACGCUGGCGGCGUGCCUAAUACAUGCAAGUAGAACGCUGAAGGAGGAGCUUGCUUCUCUGGAUGAGUUGCGAACGGGUGAGUAACGCGUAGGUAACCUGCCUGGUAGCGGGGGAUAACUAUUGGAAACGAUAGCUAAUACCGCAUAACAGUAGAUGUUGCAUGACAUUUGCUUAAAAGGUGCAAUUGCAUCACUACCAGAUGGACCUGCGUUGUAUUAGCUAGUUGGUAAGGUAACGGCUUACCAAGGCAACGAUGCAUAGCCGACCUGAGAGGGUGAUCGGCCACACUGGAACUGAGACACGGUCCAGACUCCUACGGGAGGCAGCAGUAGGGAAUCUUCCGCAAUGGGCGAAAGCCUGACGGAGCAACGCCGCGUGAGUGAUGAAGGUCUUCGGAUCGUAAAACUCUGUUAUUAGGGAAGAACAUAUGUGUAAGUAACUGUGCACAUCUUGACGGUACCUAAUCAGAAAGCCACGGCUAACUACGUGCCAGCAGCCGCGGUAAUACGUAGGUGGCAAGCGUUAUCCGGAAUUAUUGGGCGUAAAGCGCGCGUAGGCGGUUUUUUAAGUCUGAUGUGAAAGCCCACGGCUCAACCGUGGAGGGUCAUUGGAAACUGGAAAACUUGAGUGCAGAAGAGGAAAGUGGAAUUCCAUGUGUAGCGGUGAAAUGCGCAGAGAUAUGGAGGAACACCAGUGGCGAAGGCGACUUUCUGGUCUGUAACUGACGCUGAUGUGCGAAAGCGUGGGGAUCAAACAGGAUUAGAUACCCUGGUAGUCCACGCCGUAAACGAUGAGUGCUAAGUGUUAGGGGGUUUCCGCCCCUUAGUGCUGCAGCUAACGCAUUAAGCACUCCGCCUGGGGAGUACGACCGCAAGGUUGAAACUCAAAGGAAUUGACGGGGACCCGCACAAGCGGUGGAGCAUGUGGUUUAAUUCGAAGCAACGCGAAGAACCUUACCAAAUCUUGACAUCCUUUGACAACUCUAGAGAUAGAGCCUUCCCCUUCGGGGGACAAAGUGACAGGUGGUGCAUGGUUGUCGUCAGCUCGUGUCGUGAGAUGUUGGGUUAAGUCCCGCAACGAGCGCAACCCUUAAGCUUAGUUGCCAUCAUUAAGUUGGGCACUCUAAGUUGACUGCCGGUGACAAACCGGAGGAAGGUGGGGAUGACGUCAAAUCAUCAUGCCCCUUAUGAUUUGGGCUACACACGUGCUACAAUGGACAAUACAAAGGGCAGCGAAACCGCGAGGUCAAGCAAAUCCCAUAAAGUUGUUCUCAGUUCGGAUUGUAGUCUGCAACUCGACUACAUGAAGCUGGAAUCGCUAGUAAUCGUAGAUCAGCAUGCUACGGUGAAUACGUUCCCGGGUCU